Molecule: non-coding RNA, 255 nt
Organism: Paramuricea clavata
Lineage: Eukaryota; Metazoa; Cnidaria; Anthozoa; Malacalcyonacea; Plexauridae
Source: the annotation of a GenBank genome assembly
GGUCAGGUCUUAAAAUGUAUAUAGUCACUUGGAUUACAAACCCUAACAUUCUUUAUUAUUUUACUCUGUCUAACGCCAGAUUAUUUUACUCCGUCUAAUGCUAUACGAUUUUACUUGUCAAGGGGAGAGCGCUGGCACUUAGUGGGUUAACUCGUCUAUCUGCCCAUGAUGUGUCUAGUUAACCCAUUGAGUCACAUUGCACCCUACUUUAUUAUUUUCUGUCUAAUGCCAGAUGAUUGUUUUGUAUAAUAGGUU